Molecule: long non-coding RNA, 248 nt
Filed under: Manihot esculenta (cassava)
Lineage: Eukaryota; Viridiplantae; Streptophyta; Magnoliopsida; Malpighiales; Euphorbiaceae
Description: long non-coding RNA (MESC_LNC008092)
Source: RNAcentral
GAAUAUUGUUGAAUUUACUGCUGUAAAGUAAUGGAGUACCAUCGGCCACUUUGACAUUGAAAGGCUUGGUCGGCUUUCCUGGAAGUUUGAGUAUCUCAGCAAUUUUCGCAUUGACGAAAUUGUGAGUUGAGCCGCUGUCAAUCAGAGCAAUUAAUUCGAAGGAAUUGAUUUGGAUAGCAACUCUCAUAGUACCCACUGAAGACCAUCCUGUAAGGGCAUGCAAAGAAAUCUCAGGCUCUGCGGCAUUA